GCCCCUAUCGUCUAAUGGUUAAGGACAUCUCUUUUUCGAGGAGAUAACGUGGAUUCGAUUUCUACUAGGGGUU
RNAcentral lists this transfer RNA (73 nucleotides) under Thismia panamensis. RNAcentral describes it as "tRNA-Glu". It matches the Rfam family "tRNA". From Rfam's summary of the family: Transfer RNA (tRNA) molecules are approximately 80 nucleotides in length. Their secondary structure includes four short double-helical elements and three loops (D, anti-codon, and T loops). Further hydrogen bonds mediate the characteristic L-shaped molecular structure. tRNAs have two regions of fundamental functional importance: the anti-codon, which is responsible for specific mRNA codon recognition, and the 3' end, to which the tRNAs corresponding amino acid is attached (by aminoacyl-tRNA synthetases). tRNAs cope with the degeneracy of the genetic code in two manners: having more than one tRNA (with a specific anti-codon) for a particular amino acid; and 'wobble' base-pairing, i.e. permitting non-standard base-pairing at the 3rd anti-codon position. Lineage: Eukaryota; Viridiplantae; Streptophyta; Magnoliopsida; Dioscoreales; Thismiaceae. The record is from RNAcentral.